UACGGAGGGGGCUAGCGUUGCUCGGAAUUACUGGGCGUAAAGGGCGCGUAGGCGGCUAGCUUAGUCAGAGGUGAAAGCCCAGGGCUCAACCUUGGAAUUGCCUUUGAUACUGGCUGUCUUGAGUUCGGGAGAGGUGAGUGGAAUGCCGAGUGUAGAGGUGAAAUUCGUAGAUAUUCGGCGGAACACCAGUGGCGAAGGCGACUCACUGGCCCGAUACUGACGCUGAGGCGCGAAAGCGUGGGGAGCAAACAGG
RNAcentral lists this ribosomal RNA (253 nucleotides) under uncultured bacterium. RNAcentral's name for it is "partial 16S ribosomal RNA". It matches the Rfam family "Bacterial small subunit ribosomal RNA", at positions 524 to 776 of the family's 1533-position model. The record is from RNAcentral.